GGGGGAUUAGCUCAGUUGGAUAGAGCGCCUGUUUUGCACGCAGGAGGUCAUCGGUUCGACUCCGAUAUUCUCCA
Molecule: transfer RNA, 74 nt
Filed under: Blattabacterium sp. (Periplaneta americana) str. BPLAN
Lineage: Bacteria; Pseudomonadati; Bacteroidota; Flavobacteriia; Flavobacteriales; Blattabacteriaceae
Description: tRNA-Ala (TGC) (tRNA-Ala-TGC-1-1)
Rfam family: tRNA
About the family: Transfer RNA (tRNA) molecules are approximately 80 nucleotides in length. Their secondary structure includes four short double-helical elements and three loops (D, anti-codon, and T loops). Further hydrogen bonds mediate the characteristic L-shaped molecular structure. tRNAs have two regions of fundamental functional importance: the anti-codon, which is responsible for specific mRNA codon recognition, and the 3' end, to which the tRNAs corresponding amino acid is attached (by aminoacyl-tRNA synthetases). tRNAs cope with the degeneracy of the genetic code in two manners: having more than one tRNA (with a specific anti-codon) for a particular amino acid; and 'wobble' base-pairing, i.e. permitting non-standard base-pairing at the 3rd anti-codon position.
Source: Rfam by way of RNAcentral